Molecule: long non-coding RNA, 1106 nt
Filed under: Erythranthe guttata (spotted monkey flower)
Lineage: Eukaryota; Viridiplantae; Streptophyta; Magnoliopsida; Lamiales; Phrymaceae
Description: long non-coding RNA (EGUT_LNC002584)
Source: RNAcentral
AUCGGCGACGGACAGCAGCGCAACAACACCACGGCCACCGCAGAACAAACUACCAUUUUCCUUCUAAGUAUUGACACAUAUGGAUUAGCAUGGGUGUUAGGGUUUAGAAUUUCCACUUUCUCUUCCAAUUUCCUCCGGAGAACGAUGACGGUGAAAGCGAUAAAUGAUGACACUAGCAGCAUAACGACAAUUGUAUGAAGAAUUUAAGGUAAUUGUUCAAUAUUAAUUUUUAUGUUGCUCAAGGAUUAAUUUUUUUUUCUCUAAGUAAAAUAUAUUAUUCAAUGUUAUCGCAGGUCCAUAACUGUAUUUUUCCUAUGAGAUACUAAAAAUUGAAUUUGUUGUUUUAUUUCGUUUACAUAGUUCUUCUAUUGGGUUUAGAAUUUUGUAAUUAAUAAACUCAUGUAAAUUUUGUGUAUUGGUGUAAGAAUGCAAUCAAUAGUUUUGUACAUAAGGUAUGAAUAUGUGACUUAGUUUGUUUAAAUUACAUAAUAUAUGGCUGUAAAAAAAAUUUCUUUGCCACUCUUGUAUAUUUAUCAGAAACGACAUCAAAAAGGAUUUGGGAAAAACGGUGGAUCAGAAAAGCAAAUCCAUUAGAUAGAAUAAAUUGAUUGAGAUUUUGUUUCAUGUAAUCAGCUAUAUAUGGUGUUUAAGAAUAAACCUAGCCACAACUAUAUAUGACACAGGUAAUCCUAAUAUUUUAGUCUGCAAUGGCAUUUAUAUUUCAUUAAGUUUGAAAUUUAUGUUUUGUUUAUUUGCAGAAACAAACAUCUUCAAACACAUUAUGACAGGUAAUGCUAUUAACUACAUUAUGAUAUCUUUUUUCUUCUGAAAAAUGAUUUGUUAACCUAGUUAUUUAAAAUGGUUAUACGUGGGUUAUAAGAACAUGGUUUCUAAUAUAUAAUCUGGUUACUUGACUUUAAAAUGGAUAUUUGUUUUGUAUUGGUUUACAUUUGUUUUUUGUCGCAAUGUACUUUGUUUGUUGUUUAGAGCUUAUAGGGAGACAAAUUUCUUCAAUGAAACCGAGAAGGAACUCAGGUAAAUCAAUGUGGCAGUUGGGCUAAGAUGACUUACAUGAACUGCUCUUUAAUUAUCUACUCAUGUAAGAU